Molecule: ribosomal RNA, 462 nt
Filed under: uncultured bacterium
Lineage: Bacteria
Description: partial 16S ribosomal RNA
Rfam family: Bacterial small subunit ribosomal RNA
Source: RNAcentral
GACGAACGCUGGCGGCGUGCUUAACACAUGCAAGUCGAACGGUAAGGCCCUUCGGGGUACACGAGUGGCGAACGGGUGAGUAACACGUGGGUAAUCUGCCCUGCACUUCGGGAUAAGCCUGGGAAACUGGGUCUAAUACCGGAUAUUCAGUUCCUGCCGCAUGGUGGGGGUUGGAAAGUUUUUCGGUGCAGGAUGAGCCCGCGGCCUAUCAGCUUGUUGGUGGGGUAAUGGCCUACCAAGGCGACGACGGGUAGCCGGCCUGAGAGGGUGAUCGGCCACACUGGGACUGAGACACGGCCCAGACUCCUACGGGAGGCAGCAGUGGGGAAUAUUGCACAAUGGGCGAAAGCCUGAUGCAGCGACGCCGCGUGGGGGAUGACGGUCUUCGGAUUGUAAACCCCUUUCAGUAGGGACGAAGCGCAAGUGACGGUACCUGCAGAAGAAGCACCGGCCAACUACGUG